UACGUAGGGUGCAAGCGUUGUCCGGAUUUAUUGGGUUUAAAGGGUGCGUAGGUGGCUGAUUAAGUCAUGGGUGAAAGCCCGCAGCUCAACUGUGGAAUUGCCUGUGAUACUGAUUAGCUUGAGUGCGGUUGAGGCAGCUGGAAUUGGUGGUGUAGCGGUGAAAUGCAUAGAUACCGCCAGGAACACCGAUUGCGAAGGCAGGUUGCUAAGCCGUAACUGACACUGAGGCACGAAAGCGUCGGGAGCAAACAGG
RNAcentral lists this ribosomal RNA (253 nucleotides) under uncultured bacterium. RNAcentral describes it as "partial 16S ribosomal RNA". It matches the Rfam family "Bacterial small subunit ribosomal RNA", at positions 524 to 776 of the family's 1533-position model. The record is from RNAcentral.